This 1481-nucleotide ribosomal RNA is filed under the name uncultured Bordetella sp. RNAcentral describes it as "partial 16S-23S ribosomal RNA intergenic spacer". It matches the Rfam family "Bacterial small subunit ribosomal RNA". The record is from RNAcentral. Lineage: Bacteria; Pseudomonadati; Pseudomonadota; Betaproteobacteria; Burkholderiales; Alcaligenaceae.
UUCGGACUUGGCUCGAUUGAACGCUGGCGGGAUGCUUUACACAUGCAAGUCGAAUUAAGCAGCACGGACUUCGGUCUGGUGGCGAGUGCGAACGGGUGAGUAAUGUAUCGGAACGUGCCUAGUAGCGGGGGAUAACUACGCGAAAGCGUAGCUAAUACCGCAUACGCCCUUCGGGGGAAAGCGGGGGACCUUCGGGCCUCGCACCAUUAGAGCGGCCGAUAUCGGAUUAGCUAGUUAUGGGGUAACGGCUCACCGGAAGGCGACGAUCCGUAGCUGGUUUGAGAGGACGACCAGCCACACUGGGACUGAGACACGGCCCAGACUCCUACGGGAGGCAGCAGUGGGGAAUUUUGACAAUGGGGAAACCCUGAUCCAGCCAUCCCCGCGUGCGAUGAAGGCCUUCGGGUUAAAGCACUUUUGGCAGGAAAAGAAACGGCACGGGAUAAUACCCCGUGCAACUGACGGUACCUGCAGAAUAAGCACCGGCUAACUACGUGCCAGCAGCCGCAAUACGUAGGGUGCAAGCGUUAAUCGGAAUUACUGGGCGCAAGCGUGCGCAGGCGGUUUCGGAAAAGAAAGAUGUGAAAUCCCAGAGAGCUUAACUUUGGAACUGCAUUUUUAACUACCGAGCUAGGAGUGUGUCAGUGAGGUGGAAUUCCGCGUGUAGCAGUGAAAUGCGUAGAUAUGCGGAGGAACACCGAUGGCGAAGGCAGCCUCCUGGGAUAACACCGACGUGCUCAUGCACGAAAGCGUGGGGAGCAAACAGAUUAGAUACCCUGGUAGUCCACGCCCUAAACGAUGUCAACUAGCCGUUGGGGCCUUCGGGCCUUGGUAGCGCAGCUAACGCGUGAAGUUGACCGCCUGGGGAGUACGGUCGCAAGAUUAAAACUCAAAGGAUCUGACGGGGACCCGCACAAGCGGUGGAUGAUGUGGAUUAAUUCGAUGUAACGCGAAAACCUUACCUACCCCUUGACAUGUCUGGAAUCCCGAAGAGAUUUGGGAGUGCUCGCAAGAGAACCGGAACACAGGUGUUGCAUGGCUGUCGUCAGCUCGUGUCGUGAGAUGUUGGGUUAAGUCCCGCAACGAGCGCAACCCUUGUCAUUAGUUGCUACGAAAGGGCAAUUUAUGAGACUGCCGGUGACAAACCGAGGAAGGUGGGGAUGACGUCAAGUCCUCAUGGCCCUUAUGGGUAGGGCUUCACACGUCAUACAAUGGUCGGGACAGAGGGUCGCCAACCCGCGCGAGGGGGAGCCAAUCCCAGAAACCCGAUCGUAGGUCCGAUCGCGGUCUGCAACUCGACUGCGUGAAGUCGGAAUCGCUAGUAAUCGCGGAUCAGCAUGUCGCGGUGAAUACGUUCCCGGGUCUUGUACACACCGCCCGUCAUCAUGGGAGUGGGUUUUACCAGAAGUAGUUAGCCUAACCGUAAGGAGGGCGAUUACCACGGUAGGAUUCAUGACUGGGGUGAAGUCGUAACAAGGUAA